GUCGAAAUUGGAUUUCAUUCGUAAUUUGACCGAGAACGGUUUGUGUCUGGCGUGAAACUAUUGCUGUUGUUACUACGAUUUCUAUUUUAGAAAGAAAAUAGUUUAAAGUGAACCCAAAGUUAGAGUAGUUCUGCAAAUUUGCUGAAAACAGUUGUAAUAAAUUAAUUUUCAGUACUUGGUACAUACACAAAUUUAUCGAUUUGUGUCAGCAAACACAUCGGAUCAGACGACGAAUUCACUAGUAUUGUGUCAGCCAACAUGGCGGACGACGAGCAAUUCUCGCUUUGUUGGAAUAAUUUCAACAGUAAUUUGUCGGCUGGUUUUCAUGAAUCGCUUUGCCGCGGUGACCUGGUGGACGUGACGCUAGCGGCGGAAGGGCAAUUUGUCAAAGCGCACCGUUUAGUUUUGUCUGUAUGCUCACCCUAUUUUCGCAAAAUGUUCACACAAAUGCCGGCCAAUCAACAUGCUUUCGUUUUUCUCAAAGAUGUAUCUCAUACAGCAUUAAAAGAUCUUAUCCAAUUUAUGUACUGUGGAGAAGUAAAUGUAAAGCAAGAAGCUUUACCUGCGUUUAUUAGUACAGCAGAAGCUCUUCAAAUAAAAGGCUUAACAGAUAGCGAUCCUCCACCAUCGCAAUCGCCAGCGGAACCUUCCACACCUUCACCUCAAAUUCAACAGAUAUCUUCGCCUCGAGUUCGCCAACGAACAUCGACAUCUCGAUCGUUUAAAAUAGAAUCUGUUGAUGAUUCUGGAGAUGACAAGCAAACUCAGAUUGUCAUACAAACUACGGCGGCUCCUGCAGCGCAGCAAGUUGUUGCUCAACCGCAAACACAACAUUUGCAGACACAAAGUCAAACGCAUAUAGCACCUCAACAAAUCGCAACCACCACCACCGCCACUACUACAACCGUUGUUACGCAUAAGCGACCAGCGCGAAGUGUUGGAAGUGGGCCCCACAUUAAACGCACCAAAAGUACAAUUGAUCCGCUAGAUACAACUGAUGUGUCGACCGGAACCCAACAAAUAACUGUGCAAACAGCUGUUGUUGCUGCCCCUGCUCCUGAGACUAAAACACAAGUACAGCAACAACAAAGUGAGCCGGAAUAUAUAGACUUGCCAAUAGAGUUACCUACGAAAUCGGAACCAGACUAUGCAGAAGAUGCUGGUGAUGUAGAUGGAGGCGAAAAUGAAACCACUUAUGUAGAAGAUGAUUCUUAUGGAGAGCUUAGAUAUGACGAAAGCUACUUUACCGAAAAUGACGAUACACCUGCAGGUGCGACGACGGUACAAACUGGAACAGGUUCAGGUGGUGGUGUAAAUGCAACAACAUCAAAAGCUUUGGUGAAACAGCAACAAUCAUCAUUCACCGACACCUCGUACGUGGAUGUGGCGGACCAAGGAAACAGUGACGCACAAGGCGCCACAUCGUUUGAGGGUUCCAUAAAUAAUGCUAAAAUUAUGCAUCGGGCUACACUAGAUGUGGAUGAUGCUUCAGACAUCCAUUAUAUUUCUAGCCAAAAAGGACGUACAUUAUUAGUACAUAGAGGAUUUCAUUAUGUGCAUGAAAAGCGAAUACGGAAUAAGGUAUAUUGGAGGUGUACGCAAUAUACAACGCGACGAAAAUGUCACGGUCGUGUACACACUGAAAAUGGGCGCAUUGUACAUACAAGUUUUCACAAUCAUAAUGCGAAUACAUUAAUGGAGAGAAAAUCACAUAUCCGUAGUAAUAACUAAACUGAUACUCAAAGGCACCAAUGUAAAACUAGUCUAGGCCUUUAUAGCUUGGAUGCAGAGUGGGUCGUAACACUUAUAACUGAUAGUUGUGUUACGGAGAAUUUGAAUUAUUUGUAUUGUAUACAAAGCAGCAAAUAUCUAUUUUUAGUAUGUAUUUAUUCUAGAUAUUUGUAAAUCUUAAAGCUUCUGCAAAAAAGUGAGAAUAGUGCAAAUUUAUUAUAUAACAAAAUAGUAAUAAUAUAAUAUAUACAAUAUAUGUAUAUAAUAUGUUUUGUGCCUAAAUUAAAAUAUAAUAUGUAUAUAUUUUUAAUGAUAAUUUCGAAUUACGAAUCAGUGAAGGGAUUUCAGUUUAUUUGUUGUAAAAUAUUAAAGUGAUUAUAUUUCAUAUCGUUAUGGUAUUAUUUGCUGUGUAUAUAAUAAUAUAAAAUAUAUAAAUUUCUCGAAGGGCUAAUAUAUAUAUAUAUAUGUACAGGACACAGAAUUUUUCGCCUUGCAAAAUCAAUUUUCCUGAAUACUCCAGAUUCCCAAUUACAAAAAAACUCAUGAUAACAAUGUUCGUAAAAAUAAUAAUUUAUAGAAAAUAUGAUGUCGAAGUAAGAGGGUGAUGCUACAGGGAAUGUAGUAUAAGUCUAACAAAACGAUGCAAAAUAUUUGUCUUCUUUGUUAUUGACAUGUAAACAAAACCUCGGAACGCGUGUGCUAAUUUGAAGGAAAAAUUGCUGUAUUAACUACUACAAAAAAAAAAAAAAAAAAAAAAUUCUCGAUGUUUGAAUGUAAAAAAGAAGGCGAAGAAAUGGGUUCGAGUGGUACAUAAGUGCAACGAUAUUUGUGGGGUUGUGUUGUGGGAAAAUGGCAUUAACUGCAAUAAUAUGUUUAUCAUCGCAAAAUUGUCCAACAAUAGAUAUAAAUUGAAUAGUACUCAUAAAUCAAAAGCUAUAUAAACAAACAAUAAAUACAAACAUUUAAAGUGUAAAAUAUCGAGGACUGGAUACAAGUACAGUUUACAGUUCAAUUUAUGAUACUAUUGUAUUCUGAUUAUAGCGAAAUCGGUUUAAGGGAUAUAUUGUUUGAUUUUCAAAAAAUGUAACUGAAUUAAUGGCAAAAUAAAAUACAUAUGUUACAUAAA
Molecule: RNA transcript, 2857 nt
Organism: Bactrocera latifrons
Lineage: Eukaryota; Metazoa; Arthropoda; Insecta; Diptera; Tephritidae
Gene name: modifier of mdg4-like
Exons: 6
Source: RefSeq, a predicted model, not a curated record